This is a long non-coding RNA of Thalassophryne amazonica, 1510 nucleotides long. RefSeq lists it as uncharacterized. The record is from RefSeq and is a predicted model, not a curated record. Lineage: Eukaryota; Metazoa; Chordata; Actinopteri; Batrachoidiformes; Batrachoididae. The transcript has 4 exons.
AACCCUUCUCACACUGCACACCGAGCGGAGUAUGUGGCUGUGAGAAGGGUUACACUGAAGUGAUGACCACAGACGGCUUCCUGGACUACUGCACCAGAACCCCAGGAGUGGACAACAGCAAGAAAGCUGAUGUGAAGACCAACUCUGGGAGAUUAAAACCUGGGCCGUCUCAGGCGCAGGACCUCUUCAGUGAGUGGACCUUACGGCCUGUUGGACCAGAUGGAAGACUAAAGCUGUGGGUUUACGCUGUGACUGCCGUUGGAUUCAUCUUAAUUACCUCUUCAUUAUAGCAUUAUCAUUCCUACUCUGCACACCAUCCAAACCAACAAAGACAUCCUCUCCACCACAAAAGGCCCUGACCCUGGCCUAUGAUGGGGACAUGGACAUGUGACCAGCCUGAACCGUCUGAAGUUGGCCACUUUGAACUGGGAGCCUGUUUGUGGCCAACUGUGUUGCAAAAAACUGAAACAAAUAGUGAAACUCCAGAUGUAAUUUACUGCUGCUGAAGGUACAAGAAAAACUAAAGUCAAGAGUGGCUAGGUUUUCUCUUUGAAACAGAAGAAGCAAUGACAAAUGAGACAAAGGGUCUCUGGACAUACAAAAUAAAUGGACCUCUAGUUUCUUUUAUUUUAUUUUUUGUAACUGCUUCCUGGGCAGUUAAGGUUUGCAUUACACAAAGCAGCAGGACCUCCUGAAAGAUGAGAGAAGAGACAGGUCCACAGAUGUGGUUUUGGGAGACUCCAAGACCAUCUGGUUACUUGUCACUUCAUGUUUACGUGCCGAGAGGACACUAACGUCUUGAGUCACCAGUCAACUGUGACAUUCAAAGACUGUGAAUGGAACAUAUGACUUUUAUUCUUUGUCUCAUCAGUGCUGGAUAUUUGUAAAGAAAUUGUCACAAACCUUUGAGUAAACGGCCUUUUUAGAAUAUCAGAGAAUAAAGAAGGGGCGUUAUGCACUACGUUAGUGCUGAUUCACUUUUGUUUUCUCUUUCAAAUGACUUUUCUAGUGUUUUCAUUGUGAUGCAAGGUGUUGCUGUCACAUUGUGUUUUGAUGAUGCCAUAUGUUGUGUAUUUUUGGACUUUGAAACCAAAAGCAGGCUUGCCUUGAUUUUAAUGAUGCCAUGAUGCAGUACAUCGCCCUCCAUGAUUCAUAGAAGAUGCUCCGCCACCGACAGCUAAACUGAGAAACGACCUCACAAACGGGACGUCGGAGCCUCAGCACAGCAGGCUGCGGUGGUGACAAAUGUAGUCGGGAAUUAGCACAUUAUAAACAAAACAGCACAACAGACUAUAAUGCAUAUCAAAUACCAGCAUGAUACACAACACACCUCAUUCAGUUUUUCAUCAAAUGCAAAGAAAAACAACAGAUGGAAAAAAAAUCCCCAGCAGAUUAUACACAUUUAUAAGUUUGUCACAGGUAGAACUGAUCAAAACAAUUCCAUGCUUCAUAUUUUCUUUUAAUGCCAUCUAUCUUAUUGUCAAUAAAUUCAAUCAAAUGGUAUCAAGAA